Triticum aestivum (bread wheat) is the source of this 161-nucleotide non-coding RNA. The record is from Rfam. Lineage: Eukaryota; Viridiplantae; Streptophyta; Magnoliopsida; Poales; Poaceae.
ACCCCUACCUGGACGGGGCUUCCGACUGAUCAUGAAGGGUCAUGGCCUAGAUCCACGACUCAAAUUGCAUUUGGUGAGCAUGUUGUUCUACCAUCUCCCCAAUUGGGAGAAUGGAUGUCAUAAUUUUUGGAAGAGGGGGUAUGCGUUUAUGCGGGCCCUAC